AAGGAUUCCCCUAGUAACUGCGAGUGAACCGGGAAAAGCUCAAAUUUUGAAUCUGGCGGUCCAAGGGCCGUCCGAGUUGUAAUCUAGAGAAGCGUCUUCCGCGCUGGACCGUGUAUAAGUUUCCUGGAAUGGAACGUCGUAGAGGGUGACAAUCCCGUCUUUGACACGGACUCCCAGUGCUAUGUGAUGCGCUCUCGACGAGUCGAGUUGUUUGGGAAUGCAGCUCAAAUAGGGUGGUAAAUUCCAUCUAAAGCUAAAUACAGGCGAGAGACCGAUAGCGAACAAGUACCGUGAGGGAAAGAUGAAAAGAACUUUGGAAAGAGAGUUAAACAGUACGUGAAAUUGCUGAAAGGGAAACGCUUGAUGUCAGUCGCAUCGUCCGGGGAUCAGCCUCGCUCUUUUGCUCGGCGUACUUCCUGGUCGAUGGGUCAGCAUCGGUUUCGACCGUCGGAAAAUGGCUCGAGGAACGUGGCACUCUUCGGGGUGUGUUAUAGCCUCGAGUC
RNAcentral lists this ribosomal RNA (503 nucleotides) under Suillus spraguei. Its description in RNAcentral is "partial 25S ribosomal RNA". It matches the Rfam family "Eukaryotic large subunit ribosomal RNA", at positions 70 to 570 of the family's 3401-position model. Lineage: Eukaryota; Fungi; Basidiomycota; Agaricomycetes; Boletales; Suillaceae. The record is from RNAcentral.